AAUGAACGCUGGCGGCGUGCCUAAUACAUGCAAGUCGAGCGAACAGACGAGGAGCUUGCUCCUCUGACGUUAGCGGCGGACGGGUGAGUAACACGUGGAUACCCUACCUAUAAGACUGGGAUAACUUCGGGAAACCUGAGCUAAUACCGGAUAAUAUAUUGAACCGCAUGGUUCAAUAGUGAAAGACGGUUUUGCUGUCACUUAUAGAUGUAUCCGCGCCGCAUUAGCUAGUUGGUAAGGUAACGGCUUACCAAGGCAACGAUGCGUAGCCGACCUGAGAGGGUGAUCGGCCACACUGGAACUGAGACACGGUCCAGACUCCUACGGGAGGCAGCAGUAGGGAAUCUUCCGCAAUGGGCGAAAGCCUGACGGAGCAACGCCGCGUGAGUGAUGAAGGUCUUCGGAUCGUAAAACUCUGUUAGUAGGGAAGAACAAAUGUGUAAGUAACUAUUCACGUCUUGACGUUACCUAAUCAGAAAGCAACGGCUAACUACGUG
RNAcentral lists this ribosomal RNA (497 nucleotides) under uncultured bacterium. RNAcentral describes it as "partial 16S ribosomal RNA". It matches the Rfam family "Bacterial small subunit ribosomal RNA", at positions 29 to 507 of the family's 1533-position model. The record is from RNAcentral.